Molecule: ribosomal RNA, 419 nt
Filed under: uncultured bacterium
Lineage: Bacteria
Description: bacterial SSU rRNA
Rfam family: Bacterial small subunit ribosomal RNA
Source: RNAcentral
UGGGGAAUUUUGGACAAUGGGCGCAAGCCUGAUCCAGCCAUGCCGCGUGAGUGAAGAAGGCCUUCGGGUUGUAAAGCUCUUUCGGCGGGGACGAAACGGUUCAUGCCAACACCAUGGACUAAUGACGGUACUCGCAGAAGAAGCACCGGCUAACUACGUGCCAGCAGCCGCGGUAAUACGUAGGGUGCAGGCGUUAAUCGGAAUUACUGGGCGUAAAGCGUGCGCAGGCGGCUCCUUAAGUCAGAUGUGAAAUCCCCGGGCUUAACCUGGGAACUGCGUUUGAAACUGAGGGGCUUGAGUGUGGAAGAGGGGGGUGGAAUUCCAGGUGUAGCAGUGAAAUGCGUAGAGAUCUGGAGGAACACCGAUGGCGAAGGCGGCUCACUGGAUCGGUACUGACGCUGAGGUGCGAAAGCGUGGGG